This 499-nucleotide ribosomal RNA is filed under the name uncultured bacterium. RNAcentral describes it as "bacterial SSU rRNA". It matches the Rfam family "Bacterial small subunit ribosomal RNA", at positions 30 to 524 of the family's 1533-position model. The record is from RNAcentral.
AUUGAACGCUGGCGGCAUGCCUUACACAUGCAAGUCGAACGGCAGCGCGGGGCAACCUGGCGGCGAGUGGCGAACGGGUGAGUAAUAUAUCGGAACGUGCCCUGGAGUGGGGGAUAACGUAGCGAAAGUUACGCUAAUACCGCAUACGAUCCAAGGAUGAAAGCAGGGGGACCUUCGGGCCUUGUGCUCCUGGAGCGGCCGAUAUCUGAUUAGCUAGUUGGUGGGGUAAAAGCCUACCAAGGCGACGAUCAGUAGCUGGUCUGAGAGGACGACCAGCCACACUGGAACUGAGACACGGUCCAGACUCCUACGGGAGGCAGCAGUGGGGGAAUUUUGGACAAUGGGGGCAACCCUGAUCCAGCAAUGCCGCGUGUGUGAAGAAGGCCUUCGGUUGUAAAGCACUUUGUCAGGAACGAAACGGUCUGGGCUAAUAUCCUGGGCUAAUGACGGUACCUGAAGAAUAAGCACCGGCUAACUACGUGCCAGCAGCCGCGGUAAU